AAAUGUGAAAGCGACUGCCUUUUUGUACAGGGUGUCGCCAUGCUUGCCAGGCUGGCCUCGAACUCCUGACCUCAAGUGAUUUGCCUGCCUUGGCUUCCCAAAGUGCUGGGAUUACAGGCAUGAGCCACCACGUCCGGACAUAAACCCAGUAAUUUUGUACAAUUUAUAAAACAAUGUAGUCUACAGGAACUAAGGCUAUGUUUUGCCUCAAAUGUUUUUUGUUUUCAGAAUAAAAUACUUGGUCAGUAGAAUCUCUUCAACAAAAUAGAAGAGAAGCAGUCAUGAAGAAAUAAAUCAUCUUUGUUUCUACUCAUCUGUCACUUAUGUGAUACGUACAAUAUGUAAAAAGGAAAAAUCCCUGUUUAACAGCCUAAGGCAACCAGCAGCUUCCACAUUGGUUGGAUAUUAAUAAAUUUUUUUCUUUACUGUAAAAUAUA
This 437-nucleotide non-coding RNA is filed under the name Pongo abelii (Sumatran orangutan). The record is from RNAcentral. Lineage: Eukaryota; Metazoa; Chordata; Mammalia; Primates; Hominidae.